CGUCCCUUCCCGCCCGCCGAAGGGAGCCGGGGCGUCACCCAUGCGGGCUACUGCGCGCGGACUGCAAUCCGAUGCGUGCGGGAAACAAAGGAUCGCUGGCAUUCCAUUCAGCCUGCCGUUCGGCGGAGGGGAUGCGAGAUUUAAAUGACCGGCUAUGCUUGUAGAAGCCUGAGCGAUUGCUGCUCGACACGAGGGUUCAACUCCCUCCGCCUCCACCA
RNAcentral lists this transfer-messenger RNA (218 nucleotides) under Armatimonadota bacterium. RNAcentral describes it as "partial transfer-messenger RNA". It matches the Rfam family "transfer-messenger RNA", at positions 141 to 374 of the family's 374-position model. From Rfam's summary of the family: Bacterial tmRNA, also known as 10Sa RNA or SsrA, is named for its dual tRNA and mRNA-like properties. Its role is to liberate the mRNA from a stalled ribosome. Lineage: Bacteria; Bacillati; Armatimonadota. The record is from RNAcentral.